UAUAAGAUAUGCAUAUAAAAUUACUUAUAGGUAAAAUUAUGAUUUAAAAAGCCACAUCAACAAUUAACAUGAAAGCUACAGAAUCAUUAUAAAAUGAAUGUAGUUAGCCAUGUUGAAAUUCUUUCCAGGAAAUGAUUCAAGCAAAUGAUGGGAACCCCUGAAAUUUCAUCAAGAAAGCAGCCUGGAGCUACUUAGUGAGGAGGAAAAAGUCUUUGAUCUCAUACAGCUCACAUUCAAAGAAGAGAAAAAUAAAUGAUGAACAAGUGAAAAAAAUCUUCAGAAGAGACAACUGCUCUAAACAAACGUAC
This is a long non-coding RNA of Perognathus longimembris pacificus (Pacific pocket mouse), 308 nucleotides long. RefSeq lists it as uncharacterized. The transcript has 2 exons. NCBI's taxonomy places the organism in Eukaryota, Metazoa, Chordata, Mammalia, Rodentia, Heteromyidae. The record is from RefSeq and is a predicted model, not a curated record.